Molecule: long non-coding RNA, 257 nt
Filed under: Brassica napus (rape)
Lineage: Eukaryota; Viridiplantae; Streptophyta; Magnoliopsida; Brassicales; Brassicaceae
Description: long non-coding RNA (BNAP_LNC014651)
Source: RNAcentral
UCUGGCACGUCCGGGAACACCUCGUUCGGGUACAUCCUCUGCAUCAUCUCCAUCAUUUGCUGGUUCAGCCUCCUCUGUGCCUCAUAGCCCGCCUGUUGAGCCGCCAUCUGGGUCUCCAACAAAGAUAUGCGAUCAUCCUUGUCUUUCAACUGAGCCGUAAGUACUUCUGGAUCAACAAAGGGCGGUGGUGCAGAAGAAGGAGGAACCGACCGGGUGCGACGACCCAAACCGACCAAACGUCCCUUCUUCUUUGGAAC